UUGAAACGGAAUACGUAAACGAUUCGAAUUGAAUUCCGAUUGAGUUAACUGGGCUUCCGACGCGCACCAGGAGGACAUAUCUGCAGCUAGAGAUUUACGUUUCUGAUCUGCAAUUUUGAAUUGGAGAUGUCUGCCUAUUUCAUUCGGACAAAAAGUGAUUAUCAGUCUGAAUUGCAGACACCAGAAUAUUUAUCUCUGUGGUAAUGCUAACCAAAUUUCAAGCAAAAAAAUGUAAAUGGGCCAAAGCCGAAGUGUUAGUCUGGCCCGCUUACGUCAGUGGAUGUUUACAUUAAGAACGAGCAGGACAGACUCUUUGUUUACACUUCGGCUUUGGCCCAUUUACAUUGUUUUGCAUCAUUUAAUCAUUAUUUUUGUUUCCAGGUAAAAAAUAAACGACGCUUACACUGACAAAAUGGUUCUUCAAAACGGAUGAGCUGUUAGAAGCUGUUUUUCUUGUUGUUUUGAAAUUAGCUAAGCCGAGUCUUCCGUCACUACACGGAAGAGUUCCACCCCUUGCCAAACUACCGUGUCCAUUCUACCAACUAUGGCCCGACAAUAGGACGUUCAUACAACUGCGCAUGAAGUUUCAGACGAUGAAAAGAAGGAGGAGGAAGAUGGUUUACCGAAGUCGGAACGCGAGUUGGAGAAACCGGCAGAGAUUGCGACGCCUCCAAAGGCCAGGUUGAUGAGGAAAUUGGUGUGCUCGUUCCGGUGGUUGAAUAACUGACUCGGCAACGGCGGCAAUAGCGACCAGUAUUGGGCCAAUAGCUAUCUAAAUGCAAGCGGACAUUUCGCAGGUUGCGGAAAUGUCCGCGUAGCCUUCCGGAACCUACUUUGAGAUUAUCGUCAGAAAUUUUCUCUGUGCUGAAGAAUAUCACCAGCAAGA
Culex pipiens pallens (northern house mosquito) is the source of this 886-nucleotide long non-coding RNA. RefSeq lists it as uncharacterized. Lineage: Eukaryota; Metazoa; Arthropoda; Insecta; Diptera; Culicidae. The record is from RefSeq and is a predicted model, not a curated record. The transcript is spliced from 2 exons.